RNAcentral lists this unclassified non-coding RNA (327 nucleotides) under soil metagenome. Its description in RNAcentral is "partial contains 5.8S ribosomal RNA, internal transcribed spacer 2, and large subunit ribosomal RNA". The stretch from base 2 to 118 matches the Rfam family "5.8S ribosomal RNA", at positions 38 to 154 of the family's 154-position model. The record is from RNAcentral.
GGAAGAACGUAGCGAAAUGCGAUAAGUAAUGUGAAUUGCAGAAUUCAGUGAAUCAUCGAAUCUUUGAACGCACAUUGCGCCCCCUGGUAUUCCGGGGGGCAUGCCUGUCCGAGCGUCAUUACAACCCUCAAGCUCAGCUUGGUGUUGGGCCCCGCCGCCCCGGCGGGCCCUAAAGUCAGUGGCGGUGCCGUCCGGCUCCGAGCGUAGUAAUUCUUCUCGCUCUGGAGGUCCGGUCGUGUGCUCGCCAGCAACCCCCAAUUUUUUUCAGGUUGACCUCGGAUCAGGUAGGGAUACCCGCUGAACUUAAGCAUAUCAAUAAGCGGAGGA